RNAcentral lists this ribosomal RNA (1077 nucleotides) under Sordariomycetes sp. genotype 54. Its description in RNAcentral is "eukaryotic LSU rRNA". The stretch from base 499 to 1077 matches the Rfam family "Eukaryotic large subunit ribosomal RNA", at positions 1 to 592 of the family's 3401-position model. The record is from RNAcentral. Lineage: Eukaryota; Fungi; Ascomycota; Sordariomycetes.
GGAUCAUUACAAGAAGCCGAAAGGCUACUUCAAACCAUCGCGAACUCGUCCAAGUUGCUUCGGCGGCGCGGCACCCCUUAACGGGGGCGCCGCAGCCCUGCCUCUCCGGAGGUUUGGGGCGCCCGCCGGAGGUACGAAACUCUGUAUUAUAGUGGCAUCUCUGAGUAUAAAACAAAUAAGUUAAAACUUUCAACAACGGAUCUCUUGGUUCUGGCAUCGAUGAAGAACGCAGCGAAAUGCGAUAAGUAAUGUGAAUUGCAGAAUUCAGUGAAUCAUCGAAUCUUUGAACGCACAUUGCGCCCGGUAGUACUCUACCGGGCAUGCCUGUUCGAGCGUCAUUUCAACCCUCAAGCCCUGCUUGGUGUUGGGGCCCUACGGCUGCCGUAGGCCCUGAAAGGAAGUGGCGGGCUCGCUACAACUCCGAGCGUAGUAAUUCAUUAUCUCGCUAGGGAGGUUGCGGCGUGCUCCUGCCGUUAAAGACCCAUCUUUAACCAAGGUUGACCUCGGAUCAGGUAGGAAUACCCGCUGAACUUAAGCAUAUCAAUAAGCGGAGGAAAAGAAACCAACAGGGAUUGCCCUAGUAACGGCGAGUGAAGCGGCAACAGCUCAAAUUUGAAAUCUGGCUUCGGCCCGAGUUGUAAUUUGUAGAGGAUGCUUUUGGUGAGGUGCCUUCUGAGUUCCCUGGAACGGGACGCCAGAGAGGGUGAGAGCCCCGUAUAGUCGGCCACCGAUCCUUUGUAAAGCUCCUUCGACGAGUCGAGUAGUUUGGGAAUGCUGCUCAAAAUGGGAGGUAUAUCUCUUCUAAAGCUAAAUAUAGGCCAGAGACCGAUAGCGCACAAGUAGAGUGAUCGAAAGAUGAAAAGCACUUUGAAAAGAGGGUUAAAUAGCACGUGAAAUUGUUGAAAGGGAAGCGCUUGUGACCAGACUUGUGCCGGGCUGAUCAUCCAGUGUUCUCACUGGUGCACUCGACCCGGCUCAGGCCAGCGUCGGUUUUCGUGGGGGGAUAAAAGCUUCGGGAACGUGGCACCUUCGGGUGUGUUAUAGCCCGUUGCUUAAUACCUCCGUGGAGACCGAGGU